Molecule: long non-coding RNA, 1141 nt
Filed under: Populus trichocarpa (black cottonwood)
Lineage: Eukaryota; Viridiplantae; Streptophyta; Magnoliopsida; Malpighiales; Salicaceae
Description: long non-coding RNA (PTRI_LNC001429)
Source: RNAcentral
GAGGGACGAUUGGCAAGGAUUGUAUUUUGAUGACUUUUUUUUUGUUGCUAAAAUAUUUUGACAACAAUUGGCCAUUAAAAGUUCGAACCAUGGGCUUAGAAAACUUAACCAGCAUUCAUGUCUUUCAAAAUCAAUAUGGGCUGGACCCCUCAUGGGCUAAAAGCAUGGGUGUGGAAGGAUCGAUGGGCCCAGCCUUUUAUUCUAUGAUUCUAUCGAGUCUCAUUUAUAGAGAUCCAUUUCAAUGUACAGUCCCAAAGCAUCUUUUAGCCUAAACACAGUUUGCUUAGCCAAAGCAGAAACAUCGUGGUUCUUCCUCACGCCACGCCACUGCAUGAUCGAUCCCACGACAGCAUGUGAAGUUGUAGUCAUAGGGAGCUGGCUCCCUCCCCUUAUUAAAUAUUUGCUAGAACUAAAACCCUACAAGGCAAGGCAACGAGCCAUGUGGCUAACACGUUGGGGUUCUUCCUGGGUUCUAUUCACUCGACCAUGUUUCAGAACAUUCUAGCUCAUACGUGGACUAUCGAGUGGGACCAGACAUGCGAUCGAGUGGGACCAAGCAGGACCCAGGGCCGUCUUUUCUCGGCGGUGGAUAUAUCAGACGUGCCAGUCCUCUCGAGCUGCAUGUGCAUCUUGGAUCGGAAUUCGAAAGUCCUUGCGUUUGUUCAGCGGAGGGUUGAUCUCUAGGCACAUAGCGGCAUUCUCGAGGAACAAAUAUUUUGGAGAGGAAGGUCGUGCUUCUUAGCUGGGCACGGUGAGGCCUGCAUUUCUUAAUCCACGAUUAGUCAUUUCUUAAAUGGGAUUCUUUAUUAGGUUUGGAAGGUGUAAGGGUAGUGGCUAGAUUCAUUCUAAAGUCAAUUUAGUUGUAAAGUCUUCGAUUUAAUUAUAUUGAUUUUAUUUUUAUUCUCCAGUCCUGAGGUUUUAUUUUACUUUAAAAAAUUAGGGUUUCCCUAGUUUCAGCACAUGAUGAGGUAAUUUUCUUUCACUACAGUCCCUAUUUUUAUUCUAUUCUUAAGAAUAACAAAACAAAAAAACCAAAAUAAAAUAAAAUUAGGGUCAUCUUUCAUCAUUGACUUUACUAGUUCACCACUAUCUUCCAUUUUAAUAUUGUUACCGUUAUUAUUAAUAUUACUUCUACCACGAC